Nothobranchius furzeri (turquoise killifish) is the source of this 1987-nucleotide long non-coding RNA. Lineage: Eukaryota; Metazoa; Chordata; Actinopteri; Cyprinodontiformes; Nothobranchiidae. The record is from Ensembl.
CCUGAUCUAAUGAAGUUUUGCAUCUCCUGUUCUAGUAUCUUGUUCUGCACCACCUACCUUGCCUGGAGUUGUCACACGUCUCGUCACUCAAGGAUCCUCUGGCCUCCUUUCACCACACCUGCCCGCCUGCCCACGCUCAGAACCAUCUCACCAGUUCCAACCUCUUCCAAUUCCGGUACCAUCCUGUUGCUCAGAAGAGAAAAGAAAAACAUUUAUCUGAUGGAGCUAAAAAAUAGAAGGUCCAACCACAAUAGGAGUCAAACGAGUCAACAUCUGGAGUUUUCUGAAUCACCAGAGCUCUGAGACCAAAAAGGAUUCAGAUUAAAUGCAGACCAAAUGAAGUUUUGGGCUUCAGCCAAGAUAAAAAUUAGCUUCUUGUAAAAACAUGACAACAGUGUUUUUGGUGAGGUCAUCAGACCUUAGGGAGCAAACCCAAACCCAGCCACUGCCUUUUUAGUGAAACAUUUUCAAAAGCUCCUUCAAAUUUCUUCUAAAAAUAAAAGUCCUCAGUCAUUUUUGUUUUGGUGUAGCUAAAAAUAUGUUCUAAACAAUCUGCCGCAACACAGUUUACUGUUGUUACUAUGUGCUGAAGAAGGGAAACAAGAAGAUUUAUGCUGUAAGCAGAUAAGCUCCUUCCUGGAAGUCAAAAGCAAAAGUCCCUGGAUCUUAUCUGUGUUUCUGUGUGUGGGGUCCACAUGUGAACUCUCACAGAACGCUGCUCUUAAUCUGUGCCUCUAAAGUAGCCUUAGAGGUAAAUGUGUUUGUUUGUGGUUUGCGUGUCUCGAUGUUAAUCCUAGAAUGGACUGAAAAUCCAUCCAGGUUGGACCUCAUCAACUGAACUGCUGAAGGCACCAGACCUCCGUGACUCUGAGCAGGAUUAAAAUGAUCCGCAAACCCACAUCAAGGUUUGAACAAUGUUUAAUGACAAAGGCCCUGGUCACAUUGGUAUGGAUAGGUAAUAAAAAUCUACAGUUUCAUUGUCAGUUUUUAUGCAGGUUGUGGUUAAAAACAAAAUCAUUCCAACAUGAAGUUUUAGGAAUCUCUUGCUAAUUACUUGUGUCACUAGCGCACGGUUCAAUGGAUUACAAAAGCCAUAAUGCAACAAAAUAAACCUACCUACAAAGGAAGAAAUAAAACACUGAAGUUGUGCUCUACAAGUCUCUUGUUCAUGUAGUUAUCCCACCCAGUCUUUGACCUAUCUCCUGGGGGGCAUUGAGCUGCAGACACGGCUGUGCUCGGGAAACAUUUGCUGGUUUAGAGGUCAUAGCUUUUGGCAAUGUGCAACAAUGAAAGCAAAUAGUAUUUUCAUAGGACAUUUAGCAGCUCAGGAGGUAGAGUGGGUUGUCCAGUAAUCAGAAGGUUGCAGGUUCGGUGCCGGCACCCACCAGAGAAUGCUGCUGUUGCGUCCUUGGGCAAGACACUUAACCCGCCUUGCCUGCUAGUGGUGGUCGGAGGGUCCGCUGGGGCCUGUGUUCAUCUCUGUAAGUGCCCCCCAGGGAAGCUUUGGUUGCAUCAUAGUUCACCAUCACCAGCAUGUGAAUGGGUGAAUGACUGUUUGUGUUGUGAAGUGCCUUGGGGGGUUGCAGAACCGUAAGAAGGUGCUAUACAAAAACAGGCCAUUACCAUCUAGAAACAAACAAAAGGUUUUUUAUUUGUUUAGAACAUGGUAUUGAGUGUUAGAUUAUUUAGAGGUAGCCAUUAGGAGCUGGCCAAUCAUGAAACAUAAUUCACAGCUAUCGUUGCACCACUGGAAGACAUUUAUUGCUAAAAAAUGGCAAAAUACAUACUUAUUACAAUCUGGUGCUCACUGCGGAAGCUCAAAUUUCACGUUUUCGGUAAGAUCAUUGUUCUGCUGUGAAGACUGUGAUUUCUUGACAGGCUUCUGUUUGGAGAAAUAAUGUUUACAUCUCUAACCAAUGAGCUACACAGUGGUACCCACUCCUGGUGAGAGAGAGAGAGAGAGAGAGAGAGAGAGAGAGAGAGAGAG